This 1761-nucleotide non-coding RNA is filed under the name synthetic construct. The record is from RNAcentral.
ACUCUCUAUCAUAUCGUUGGGAAGAACAUCGCCCACCAGCAGAAAGCUAUUUAUUGGUGUCUCCACCAAUUUAAAUUGGCCUGGCACGCUCCAGCUCAUAUUAAUUGCCAAAUCCACACACCUUCUGUAAUUUUUCUCAAGCACAGGAUCUGCUUCGGGGAAAAAAUCACUUAAUGUGGCCAUGUUUAUAGCUUCAAAAAAAUCUUACUUUGAAGCUGUAUACCGCAGCACAGUUUCCAGUCACAGUGAAGAAUUUUGGAAGUCUGAUGAUCCAGUUUACUUUACCCAAUACAAGAAACAGUGCAACAGGCUACCGAAUGCCUACUUGGGCACACUACACUCUGCCACCUUUUUGAUUCCCCGGCGCCAUGGCAAAACCUGGAUUGUGACAGCAAUCAUAAGCAUGCUUCUGACAUCAGUGGAUGAUUUACAUAUUGGCUACGUAGCCCACCAAAAACAUGUGUCCUUGGCAGUUUUCCUGGAAAUCUCAAACAUUCUGCUGGCCUGGUUCCCAAGAAAGAAUAUUGACAUUAAAAAGGAAAAUGGGGUGAUCCUGUACUCACAUCCUGGGAAAAAAUCCAGCACCUUGAUGUGUGCCACAUGCUUCAACAAGAAUAGCAUCCGGGGGCAGACAUUUAAUCUACUGUUUGUUGAUGAAGCAAAUUUCAUAAAGAAGGAAGCACUUCCAGCAAUCUUGGGGUUUAUGUUACAGAAGGAUGCCAAGAUCUUUUUUAUCUCCUCUGUAAAUUCAGGAGAGAAGACAACAAGUUUUUUGUAUAACCUCAAAGAUGCCAAUGAGAAGAUGGUGAACGUUGUCAGCUAUGUCUGUAGCGAACAUAUGGAAGACUUCAACAAACAGAGCGCAAUCACUGCCUGCCCUUGCUAUCGCCUGUAUGUUCCAGAAUUUAUCACCAUCAAUGAUAAUAUAAAGUGUACCACCAAUUUACUGCUAGAGGGAUCAUUUGCCACAGAAUUAAUGGGCAAUAUGCAAUCACACACGGAAGUCUCUGGGAACAGUAUGAUACACGAGUCCAGUCUGACCCGGCUAGACUUUUAUAGGUGUGACACUGCGGGCCAGGGGGCCCCAACUACAGAAAAUACACUUUUUGUGUAUAUUGACCCCGCCUAUGGAAACAACGUCCACGCCUCUGGAACUGGUAUAGUUGCCAUGAGUCACUGUAAACACACUAAAAAGUGUAUUAUCUUAGGGUUGGAACAUUUCUUCCUGAACAACCUCACUGGAACUGCUGCUCACAACAUAGCCUCAUGUGCCACUGCUCUGUUGGAGGGAAUAUUGUUUCAACACCCCUGGAUUCAAGAAAUCAGGUGUAUAAUAGAGGGAAAUAGCAAUCAAGACUCAGCUGUAGCCAUAGCAACUUUUAUUUCCCACAACAUUAAACUACCAACCCUGUUUGCCUCCUACAGAGACAAGACUGGAAUGCAAUGGCCUAUUUAUAUGUUGAGUGGAGACAAGACACUGGCCUUCCAAAACUUUAUCUCUUCAUUGAACCAGGGAUUGCUCUGUGCCAGCCAAACCGUGGUAUCUAACACUGUCCUGCUGUCUAGUGACCCAAUCUCCUAUCUGAUUGAACAGAUAAAAAAUACCAAAUGUAUAUACCACAAGAACAAAACCAUAACCUUCCAAUCCAAAACACAUACAAUGUCUGAUGAUGUUCUAAUUGCGUGUGUUAUGACCUGUUACGUGAUGACAACAAACAAGAUAUCAUACAUCUCUUUUUCAAUAAAAUAAUCUUUAUUUAG